This is a long non-coding RNA of Mauremys mutica (yellowpond turtle), 1165 nucleotides long. RefSeq lists it as uncharacterized. The transcript is spliced from 4 exons. NCBI's taxonomy places the organism in Eukaryota, Metazoa, Chordata, Testudines, Geoemydidae. The record is from RefSeq and is a predicted model, not a curated record.
GCGAGGAUGGAAAGGGAAGAGGAAGGAAAGGAGCAAGAGAAAGAAGUGUGAAAGAAGGAAACGAGGAGAAGCAAAGACGUCUGGAGAAUAUUUUAAGCUGCCUCCUGAUAUGUCUGCAAUUGGAAGUAACAAGUUGUGUUUUUCAAUGUAAGCCUGGACUGCAUCAGGGACCAGAUAACGGAUGCUCUGUCCUCUCCUCAGUGCUCUCCGGAUCUUGGUGGAAGAGAUGUCAUUGGUGAUCCACUCUUCUAUCAGCAGCACCCUGAGUUUUUCAUAGAGGUCUCUUGAGAACUGCCCCAAUCAUGGGCUGUGAGAUCUGAGUCCUGUGACUGCCGACGUGCUGGAGCUAGACGCAUCAGCAAUUCAAGCCUUGUUAACCAAUCUACUGGAACUGGAAAAGUGCUGUGCACUGUGGCCGAUGAAUGGAGCACAACUAUGAAAGAGAAUUUGAAUCAUGCUGCCAAGUGUGGGUGAUGCAGACUACAAAAAGCUGGUGUGAUAGUCUCAGGGUUUGGGGAGAAGAGGCUGGGAUAGAUUGACAAUAUUGUGAACUCCUUUUUGUUUUGUGGACUCCAUUUUGUUUCUGGGUCUCUCUUUUGUAUUACAACCUUUGUUUUGAAGUGUGACCUUCAUGUUGUAUUGCAGCCUUCAUCGUGGAUUGGAGCAUCCAUUUUGUGCCAGGGGCUUGACACCUAGUGGAAUAACUAUGUCUGAGAAGCAAUGACAGAGCAAUCAAGGGCUAUCAACAUUGAAUGACUCUUCCCUAGUAGAAUAAUAGUUUUUCUAUCAUUAGGGUCUUUGACUCUGAAUGACAGGGGAGAAGCUGUAAUCCCAAACUUACCCAGCUGGAACACAUAGACAACAGGGAGACAGAUUGUUUUAAAAGAGGGUUGUUUUUCUCCAUAACGUGCCAGGCCAUUGGCACAUGCAAAAUGACCAGUUAAAAGAAGGCAGCAAAAGAUGCAUAGUUUAAGGAUGCUGAUCAAACCCAGGACUCACAGGAGGGAUGAGAUUAGACUUUGGGUUGGCGGGUGCAUUCAGGAUGUUGUUGUUUUUCAAAGAUCUGUUACUCUUGAAAAGGUUAGAGAGUUAAGUGUCUGUGAUUAAAAAAUUCCUUUGCUAAGUCUCAGAGUAGCAGCCGUGUUAGUCUGUAUCCGCAAAAAGA